GACGAACGCUGGCGGCGUGCCUAAUACAUGCAAGUCGAACGCACAGUUUAUACCGUAGCUUGCUACACCAUAGACUGUGAGUUGCGAACGGGUGAGUAACGCGUAGGUAACCUGCCUGGUAGCGGGGGAUAACUAUUGGAAACGAUAGCUAAUACCGCAUAUUAUUAAUUAUUGCAUGAUAAUUGUUUGAAAGAUGAAACUGAUUCACAACAAGAUGGCCUUGCUUUGUAUUAGUUAGUAGGUGAGGUAACGGCUCACCUAGGCGACGAUACAUAGCCGACCUGGGAGGGUGAUCGGCCACACUGGGACUGAGACACGGCCCAGACUCCUACGGGAGGCAGCAGUAGGGAAUCUUCGGCAAUGGACGAAAGUCUGACCGAGCAACGCCGCGUGAGUGAAGAAGGUUUUCGGAUCGUAAAGCUCUGUUGUAAGAGAAGAACGGGUGUGAGAGUGGAAAGUUCACACUGUGACGGUAUCUUACCAGAAAGGGACGGCUAACUACGUG
RNAcentral lists this ribosomal RNA (505 nucleotides) under uncultured bacterium. Its description in RNAcentral is "partial 16S ribosomal RNA". It matches the Rfam family "Bacterial small subunit ribosomal RNA", at positions 28 to 507 of the family's 1533-position model. The record is from RNAcentral.